Piliocolobus tephrosceles (Ugandan red Colobus) is the source of this 1044-nucleotide long non-coding RNA. Lineage: Eukaryota; Metazoa; Chordata; Mammalia; Primates; Cercopithecidae. The record is from Ensembl.
ACCGUUUGAUAUGUAUGCCUCAUGCAAUAAAUACAAUAAUAAUGGCAGUAGGUAUAAUAAUGGCAGUAGGUAUAAUAAUGCAUAUAAUGUGUAUUCUCCAUUGAAUGAAUAUACAACACCUCAAAGAAAAAAUGAUUAUAAUUUUAGCGUUAUUUCUUCAUUAUAUAACUAUCAACAUGAUUCUUGUAAUAAAUAUGCGAUUGAUGAAGAAUAUGGUCAUAUCAUUAACAAUUCUGUUUGUACUAGUAACUGUACUCCUUCUGCUUAUUAUAACAAUAACUACAACAGCUACAACAACUACAGCAACAGCCCAAACAACUACAACAACAGUCCAAACAACUACAAUAGUAGCCCAAAUAACAGCCCAAAUAAUAGCCCAAACAAUAGGUAUAAGAGCAACACAAAUAAACCACUAUUUACUCACAUAAAAUUUGAUAUGUUUGUUUUUCUUUUAUUAAAAAUAAUUCUGAAAGGGGAGUUACAGGAAUAUCCAUCGUAUAAUAAACUAAAUCCUGUGUUAAAAUAUUUAAAAUUAGAAAUGUAUAAAAAAAUAGUAGAAGAUUUUAAAAUACUAAUUAAAUGUACACUCACUAAAAAAUUAAAAAAUAAAAAAGCUAUAUUAAUUUAUCUAAAAUCUUAUUAUAAUAAAUAUGCAAACAAAAUAAAACGAUUUGAUUAUCGAUCUGCUAAAAAAGAUAUGAAUAUUAUUAAAAAUAUGUUGAUAUUAAAAAAAAACCAUUUUUUAUACUCCUCAUCUCUUCAGUCUUUUAAUUUUUUUUCUAAAAAAUGUUUAAAUGCUUAUUUGGGUAACUAUGACGUUAAUCAAGACGACCAAAGGAGGACAAAAAAAAAUGAUAGGAGGAAAAAAAAAAAUGAAAGGAGGACAAAAAAAAAAAUAAAACUAACUAUUCCAUUUGUUUUUAGUUCCCCUAAAAUAAAAACUGUAUUUGAAACAUCUUUUCAGACACUUUUUUCACGCCGCAAACCAAAAGUACUUAAUGUGUUACAACAAGGGGAAGGCUAUAAUAAUUAUAAAAUUUUUGA